CCUCUUCUUCUAGAACCUUCUCCCUACAGUGAUGGCCGCCACAGAGCAGGGUGGAGGCCAUGACCCUGUCUGACCGCAGGAGCAGGGACGGACUAGAGCCUACUGUGUACCAAGCGCUGCCCCAGAAGGUAGCCGCGACCGAAAUAGAUGGAGAAAACCUCCAGAAAGCAAAAGCCAGAAAAGUCUCGGACCCCCAGGGGCUCGGUCUAGUGUCAGACAGGCUGUCCACAAACACAGGGGUGAAGAAAAUAUUUUCAAAGAAG
Long non-coding RNA from Hyaena hyaena (striped hyena), 263 nucleotides. RefSeq lists it as uncharacterized. The record is from RefSeq and is a predicted model, not a curated record. The transcript has 2 exons. NCBI's taxonomy places the organism in Eukaryota, Metazoa, Chordata, Mammalia, Carnivora, Hyaenidae.